UGGACCAAAUAAACAGAUUUAUCACAAUCCAGAAAAUCAAUCUAACAAUGGAGUCAUAAUUUAUGCUAAAAACACAAACAAAAAACUCAUAACUCAUCAACGUCAUGCCCUUUGAAAGGGUACAAAUUGGGGCCAUUGAUAUAUCAUUGGCAUUCAGAUAUAUAUAAAUUGCAAUAAUUAAUUUGAUGAUGAAAUCUCCAAACAGGUUCAAUAAUAAAUGAAACAACAAAACUCUAGUCACCAGCUGCAUAAUGAACUCAAAAUUUUCAAACAGGGGGAGAAAAGUCAUGAUGUUUAUUUAUUCCCUCUCUUGCUACUAAAAUCAAGCCUUCACCCGCCCAUAGAACUUUGCCUUCUCCUGUGUUGU
Molecule: unclassified non-coding RNA, 367 nt
Filed under: Hevea brasiliensis (rubber tree)
Lineage: Eukaryota; Viridiplantae; Streptophyta; Magnoliopsida; Malpighiales; Euphorbiaceae
Source: RNAcentral